This 235-nucleotide ribosomal RNA is filed under the name uncultured bacterium. RNAcentral's name for it is "partial 16S ribosomal RNA". It matches the Rfam family "Bacterial small subunit ribosomal RNA", at positions 96 to 334 of the family's 1533-position model. The record is from RNAcentral.
UGGCGAACGGGUGAGUAAUAUAUCGGAACGUGCCCAGUAGUGGGGGAUAGCCCGGCGAAAGCCGGAUUAAUACCGCAUACGACCUACGGGUGAAAGAGGGGGAUCGCAAGACCUCUCGCUAUUGGAGCGGCCGAUAUCAGAUUAGGUAGUUGGUGGGGUAAAAGCCCACCAAGCCGACGAUCUGUAGCUGGUCUGAGAGGACGACCAGCCACACUGGGACUGAGACACGGCCCAG